AACGCACAUUGCGCCCCCUGGUAUUCCGGGGGGCAUGCCUGUUCGAGCGUCAUUUAUACCAAUCUAGCCUGGCUAGGUGUUGGGCUCCGCCGCCUGGCGGGCCUUAAAACUAGUGGCGGUGCCCUUCGGCUCUACGCGUAGUAAUUUUCUCGCUAUAGGGUCCGGAGGGAUGCUGGCCAGCAACCCCAAAUUUUUCUAGGUUGACCUCGGAUCAGGUAGGGAUACCCGCUGAACUUAA
Molecule: unclassified non-coding RNA, 238 nt
Filed under: uncultured fungus
Lineage: Eukaryota; Fungi
Also listed under: 1 other name
Description: partial contains 5.8S ribosomal RNA, internal transcribed spacer 2, and large subunit ribosomal RNA
Rfam family: 5.8S ribosomal RNA (bases 1-52)
Source: RNAcentral